AGGCCGGUGGCAGCUUGCAUGCCUGCAGGUCGACGAUUAGAGUUUGAUCAUGGCUCAGAGCGAACGCUGGCGGCAGGCCUAACACAUGCAAGUCGAACGAACUCUUCGGAGUUAGUGGCGGACGGGUGAGUAACACGUGGGAACGUGCCUUUAGGUUCGGAAUAACUCAGGGAAACUUGUGCUAAUACCGAAUGUGCCCUUCGGGGGAAAGAUUUAUCGCCUUUAGAGCGGCCCGCGUCUGAUUAGCUAGUUGGUGAGGUAAAGGCUCACCAAGGCGACGAUCAGUAGCUGGUCUGAGAGGAUGAUCAGCCACAUUGGGACUGAGACACGGCCCAAACUCCUACGGGAGGCAGCAGUGGGGAAUCUUGCGCAAUGGGCGAAAGCCUGACGCAGCCAUGCCGCGUGAAUGAUGAAGGUCUUAGGAUUGUAAAAUUCUUUCACCGGGGACGAUAAUGACGGUACCCGGAGAAGAAGCCCCGGCUAACUUCGUGCCAGCAGCCGCGGUAAUACGAAGGGGGCUAGCGUUGCUCGGAAUUACUGGGCGUAAAGGGAGCGUAGGCGGACAUUUAAGUCAGGGGUGAAAUCCCGGGGCUCAACCUCGGAAUUGCCUUUGAUACUGGGUGUCUUGAGUAUGAGAGAGGUGUGUGGAACUCCGAGUGUAGAGGUGAAAUUCGUAGAUAUUCGGAAGAACACCAGUGGCGAAGGCGACACACUGGCUCAUUACUGACGCUGAGGCUCGAAAGCGUGGGGAGCAAACAGGAUUAGAUACCCUGGUAGUCCACGCCGUAAACGAUGAUUGCUAGUUGUCGGGAUGCAUGCAUUUCGGUGACGCAGCUAACGCAUUAAGCAAUCCGCCUGGGGAGUACGGUCGCAAGAUUAAAACUCAAAGGAAUUGACGGAAUCUCUAGAGGAUCCCCGGGUACCGAGCUCGAAUUCGUAAUCAUGGUCAUAGCUGUUUCCUGUGUGAAAUUGUUAUCCGCUC
RNAcentral lists this ribosomal RNA (982 nucleotides) under uncultured bacterium. RNAcentral describes it as "bacterial SSU rRNA". It matches the Rfam family "Bacterial small subunit ribosomal RNA". The record is from RNAcentral.